This 492-nucleotide ribosomal RNA is filed under the name uncultured bacterium. Its description in RNAcentral is "partial 16S ribosomal RNA". It matches the Rfam family "Bacterial small subunit ribosomal RNA", at positions 29 to 507 of the family's 1533-position model. The record is from RNAcentral.
AGUGAACGCUGGCGGUAGGCCUAACACAUGCAAGUCGAACGGCAGCACAGUAAGAGCUUGCUCUUACGGGUGGCGGGUGGCGGACGGGUGAGGAAUACAUCGGAAUCUACUUUUUCGUGGGGGAUAACGUAGGGAAACUUACGCUAAUACCGCAUACGACCUACGGGUGAAAGCAGGGGAUCUUCGGACCUUGCGCGAUUGAAUGAGCCGAUGUCGGAUUAGCUAGUUGGCGGGGUAAAGGCCCACCAAGGCGACGAUCCGUAGCUGGUCUGAGAGGAUGAUCAGCCACACUGGAACUGAGACACGGUCCAGACUCCUACGGGAGGCAGCAGUGGGGAAUAUUGGACAAUGGGCGCAAGCCUGAUCCAGCCAUACCGCGUGGGUGAAGAAGGCCUUCGGGUUGUAAAGCCCUUUUGUUGGGAAAGAAAAGCAGCAGGUUAAUACCCCGCUGUCCUGACGGUACCCAAAGAAUAAGCACCGGCUAACUUCGUG